UCUGGUUGAUUCUGCCAGUAGUCAUAUGCUUGUCUCAAAGAUUAAGCCAUGCAUGUCUAAGUAUAAGCACUUUAUACUGUGAAACUGCGAAUGGCUCAUUAAAUCAGUUAUCGUUUAUUUGAUAGUACCUUACUACAUGGAUACCUGUGGUAAUUCUAGAGCUAAUACAUGCUAAAAACCUCGACUUCGGAAGGGGUGUAUUUAUUAGAUAAAAAACCAAUGCCCUUCGGGGCUCCUUGGUGAUUCAUAAUAACUUAACGAAUCGCAUGGCCUUGCGCCGGCGAUGGUUCAUUCAAAUUUCUGCCCUAUCAACUUUCGAUGGUAGGAUAGUGGCCUACCAUGGUGGCAACGGGUAACGGGGAAUUAGGGUUCGAUUCCGGAGAGGGAGCCUGAGAAACGGCUACCACAUCCAAGGAAGGCAGCAGGCGCGCAAAUUACCCAAUCCCGACACGGGGAGGUAGUGACAAUAAAUACUGAUACGGGGCUCUUUUGGGUCUCGUAAUUGGAAUGAGUACAAUCUAAAUCCCUUAACGAGGAACAAUUGGAGGGCAAGUCUGGUGCCAGCAGCCGCGGUAAUUCCAGCUCCAAUAGCGUAUAUUAAAGUUGUUGCAGUUAAAAAGCUCGUAGUUGAACCUUGGGUCUGGCUGGCCGGUCCGCCUCACCGCGAGUACUGGUCCGGCUGGACCUUUCCUUCUGGGGAACCUCAUGGCCUUCACUGGCUGUGGGGGGAACCAGGACUUUUACUGUGAAAAAAUUAGAGUGUUCAAAGCAGGCCUUUGCUCGAAUACAUUAGCAUGGAAUAAUAGAAUAGGACGUGCGGUUCUAUUUUGUUGGUUUCUAGGACCGCCGUAAUGAUUAAUAGGGAUAGUCGGGGGCGUCAGUAUUCAGCUGUCAGAGGUGAAAUUCUUGGAUUUGCUGAAGACUAACUACUGCGAAAGCAUUC
Molecule: ribosomal RNA, 943 nt
Filed under: Aspergillus flavus
Lineage: Eukaryota; Fungi; Ascomycota; Eurotiomycetes; Eurotiales; Aspergillaceae
Description: SSU rRNA
Rfam family: Eukaryotic small subunit ribosomal RNA
Source: RNAcentral